This 1847-nucleotide ribosomal RNA is filed under the name Salmonella enterica subsp. enterica serovar Paratyphi B. RNAcentral describes it as "partial 23S ribosomal RNA". It matches the Rfam family "Bacterial large subunit ribosomal RNA", at positions 1 to 1684 of the family's 2925-position model. The record is from RNAcentral. Lineage: Bacteria; Pseudomonadati; Pseudomonadota; Gammaproteobacteria; Enterobacterales; Enterobacteriaceae.
UUCAAGUCUUUAAGAGCAAACGGUGGAUGCCUUGGCAUCUGGAGCCGAAGAAGGACGUAGCAAUCUGCGAUAAGCCUCGGGGAACUGAUAAGCAAGUUUUGAUCCGAGGGUGUCCGAAUGGGGAAACCCCGCUGGGCGGCGUGCCGACCUAGUGACUCCCGCCUGAAUAUAUAGGGCGGGUAGAGGGAACGUGGGGAAGUGAAACAUCUCAGUACCCACAGGAAGAGAAAGCAACCGCGAUUCCGUUAGUAGUGGCGAGCGAAACCGGAUCAGGCUAAACCGAGUGUGUGUGAUAUCCGGCAGGAGUUGCAUAUUCGGGGUUGUGGGACUCACCAGUCAGUUCUGCCGAGCUGGCGACGUGACAGAAGCGUAUAGACGAACGGUCUUGAAAGGCCGGUCAUAGAGGGUGCCAACCCCGUAGUCGAAAUGCGUGUUCUGGCGUGGAGAGUAUCCCAAGUAGCACGGGGCCCGUGAAAUCCCGUGUGAAUCUGUCAGGACCACCUGAUAAGCCUAAAUACUCCCAGAUGACCGAUAGCGGACAAGUACCGUGAGGGAAAGGUGAAAAGUACCCCGGGAGGGGAGUGAAAUAGUACCUGAAACCGUUUGCUUACAAACCGUUGGAGCACCCCUGGUAGGUGUGACAGCGUGCCUUUUGAAGAAUGAGCCUGCGAGUUAGCGAUAUGUGGCGAGGUUAACCCGUGUGGGGUAGCCGUAGCGAAAGCGAGUCUGAAUAGGGCGAUUCAGUCGCAUGUCCUAGACCCGAAGCGAAGUGAUCUAUCCAUGGCCAGGUUGAAGCGACGGUAAGACGUCGUGGAGGACCGAACCCACUUAGGUUGAAAACUGAGGGGAUGAGCUGUGGAUAGGGGUGAAAGGCCAAUCAAACUUCGUGAUAGCUGGUUCUCUCCGAAAUGCAUUUAGGUGCAGCGUUGCGUGUUUCUUGCCGGAGGUAGAGCUACUGGAUGGCCGAUGGGCCCUACAAGGUUACUGACGUCAGCCAAACUCCGAAUGCCGGUAAGUGAGAGCGCAGCAGUGAGACUGUGGGGGAUAAGCUUCAUAGUCGAGAGGGAAACAACCCAGACCACCAACUAAGGUCCCAAAGCGCGUGCUAAGUGGGAAAGGAUGUGGAGUUGCUCUGACAACCAGGAGGUUGGCUUAGAAGCAGCCACCCUUGAAAGAGUGCGUAAUAGCUCACUGGUCAAGUGAUUCCGCGCCGACAAUGUAACGGGGCUCAAGCACGCCACCGAAGUUGUGGCAUUGACAUUAUUGGUAGGCCUUCGUGGUCCAGCCGUGUUGAUGGGUAGGAGAGCGUCGUGUGGCCAGCGAAGCGGCGGUGGAAACCAGCCGUGGAGGCUACACGAGUGAGAAUGCAGGCAUGAGUAGCGAAUGACGUGUGAGAAACACGUCCUCCGAAAGACCAAGGGUUCCAGGGUCAAGCUAAUCUUCCCUGGGUAAGUCGGGACCUAAGGCGAGGCCGACAGGCGUAGUCGAUGGACAACGGGUUGAUAUUCCCGUACCGGCGAAGAACCGCCCAAGCUAAUCCAGUGGUGCUAAACGUCCGAGCCUUCACAUCGUUGCCUUCGGGUGACACCGUGGAGGGGAGCACGUGACCCCAUGCUGGUGCGGUUAGCGUAUUAACAGGUGUGACGCAGGAAGGUAGUCCAAGCCAGGCGAUGGUUGUCCUGGUGCAAGUGCGUAGGCCGAGUCGUAGGCAAAUCCGCGACUCAUACAGGCUGAGACACGAUGCGGAUAAAAAGUGGAUGAUCCUAUGCUGCCGAGAAAAGCAUCGACGCGAGGUUCUAGCCGCCCGUACCCCAAACCGACUCAGGUGGUCAGGUAGAGAAUACCAA